CUCUGAAUUAACAAGAACCUCUUCUUUCUUGUUCUGAGAAAUUUCUGCCUGGUUAUACCCUUUAUCUUCUACUGAAGACCAUAUACCUAGUAAGACAUUCAGGAAGGCUAUUUGUUUAGCAAAGUGGCAGAAAAAAAGCCAACACAGCUGUGCAUAGUGAGAUCACUACAUUUGUCUCACUGGGUUUGAAUUCUCUUACUAUAGGCACCUCCCUUCUGUGCAAUGUUUCUCAGAGAAAAACAAUCAAAGCAAACUAAAAACUAUUUGUGAAGAUCAGUCCAAUUGCAUAUAAAAAUCUAGCAAUAAACUAAUAAUCAACUUUGGAAUUGACCGUAGAGUUUAUACAUUUUUUGCAUAGCUACUAUUCCUGAUGGACCGUCCAGCCCAACAAUCAAGUUGACGAGAACCAGAGAAAAUUAACUACUACAUGAAAAUUUAAUCCAAAUCCUCCCCAUAUCACAGCAACAACAGUGAAGAUUAUUAACUACUGGAAAAUUCACCAAGCAUAUGAAUUAAUUUCAAAGAAUCAAAGAAUGGCAGGGUUGGAAGGGACCUCAAGAAACAAGAGAGUCCAACCCCCCUGCUAAAGCAGGUACCCUACAGUAGAUUGUAUGGCUACCUGUGCGACCAAGUCUUGAAUAUCUCUAUAGAAGGAGAUGACACAACCUCUCUGGGCAACCUGUUCCAAUUUUUUUUUUUUUAGUAUAAAAAUGCAGUUAUUUUUCCUCUCCACUUCAAGCACAACAUAAGAUCAUACUGUUCUGACUUAGUCCUGUAUGAGAAUGACAUAGUAGAUAUAGAAGAGGGCAAUUUUUAGAUUCUGACUUACCACAACUCAGUAGCUUGGUAUACUUAAUCCUUGAUUAUUUGUAAAGCAAGUUCUGAAGCAGCUGCCAACAAGUACUUAACUCAUCUCUCUCAGUAUAUCCAUGAUUUCACGGUGAAGGUGCAGGAAUUACUUAUUUUUGAUUUGAUAUUACUUAUUUAUUCAUUUGGGGCACCACUUAAUAUCUAACGCCCCCUAGUGGCUGCAAGCAAGCAUCCCAAGUAGAAAAAAUGCUGCAGCAGACAGUUAAUAAGAAACAAUUUAAAAAGUUCUCCCAUCACAGAAAACGGGGACCUCUUGCCUACAGGCUUGUCAACUCGUAGCUCAAGCCUAGUGAGCUUUGUUUUAUACAUCAGGCUCGAGUUGGUUUUAGUAUCAGCAGCUUCAUUUUGUUAGCUACCUGCAGCCUUAUUGGCAGCAGCUUUAGCUACUUAACUCCUUUUCUAA
RNAcentral lists this long non-coding RNA (1273 nucleotides) under Gallus gallus (chicken). RNAcentral's name for it is "lncRNA (ENSGALG00010007075.1)". Lineage: Eukaryota; Metazoa; Chordata; Aves; Galliformes; Phasianidae. The record is from RNAcentral.